UACGUAGGGUGCAAGCGUUGUCCGGAAUUAUUGGGCGUAAAGCGCGUGUAGGCGGGUUGCCAGGUCCGCUGUGAAAGCCCGAGGCUCAACCUCGGAGGGUCGGUGGAUACUGGCAAUCUUGAAGGUGCUAGGGGGAGAUGGAAUUACCGGUGUAGCGGUGAAAUGCGUAGAGAUCGGUAGGAACACCAGUGGCGAAGGCGGUCUCCUGGGGCAUUCUUGACGCUGAGACGCGAAAGCUGGGGGAGCGAACGGG
RNAcentral lists this ribosomal RNA (253 nucleotides) under uncultured bacterium. Its description in RNAcentral is "partial 16S ribosomal RNA". It matches the Rfam family "Bacterial small subunit ribosomal RNA", at positions 524 to 776 of the family's 1533-position model. The record is from RNAcentral.